Urocitellus parryii (Arctic ground squirrel) is the source of this 3774-nucleotide long non-coding RNA. NCBI's taxonomy places the organism in Eukaryota, Metazoa, Chordata, Mammalia, Rodentia, Sciuridae. The record is from Ensembl.
AUGGAUGCUCAAGGUGUGUGUGUCACCAAAUGGCCUCCUUGGAGCACCCCUGACAGACAAGGGACGAGGGAGGAGUCUGGGAGAGAUUGCCGAGAUCCAUUACCAGACAGUACCUGUUGGCCACAGAUAGUCUUCUCAGAAAACAACCCGCCACUGCAGCUCUGCAGGGAGAAGCACAGCAGGAGCCACUUAGAGACCCAGGCAGGAGAAGGAGAAAUGGAGCUGGCCCUGGAUGUCUGGGGAGGGACAUCCCAAUUCACCUGGGACAGGACAGGGCUUGCCUGGCCAUCUGGUCUACCUGCCAUCUGGGACUCCCAGAGGAGCCUCAACCGUAGCAGUCAGGCCAACAGACCUGUCGGAAUUAGAGGGGUCCUGACCUGUCUUUGUGGGCAGUUUUGGGCAGGAUCCUCAUCUGCCAGGCCACCCACUGGAGGUGCUGACCACACGUGCUCAGAGGAUUCUAGGGCUCCACUGUGCUUGUUGCCCAGGUGGCUCGGAUGAGGACACCAGCUACUCCACGUAGGAACUGGGCCAGGUCUCCAACUGGGUCAGUCGCCGUUCAUUUGUCGACUCUGUUCUGCGUGACCAGUGCUCGCAGAUGGCUUUUCACCCAGUGGCUCCGUGGCUCCKGUCAGCUCUCCCUACCUGCAGGUGCUGCAUCCACAGGUUCCCCAGCUGUGGACUGAACCCAGUGGAAAGAGGAAAUGUCUGUCCGGAACGUGUACAGAGUCAUUCCUCAUCAGAAGGCACCCUGACAACCGCUUCCACCCCAUCUAACCCCGUUGGGCAUUAUGAGUAACUUAGAGAUGAUGUGAAGGAUCCAGGAAGAUGUAUGGAGGGUCGGAGCAAAUACCACGUCGUUUCACAUAGAGACUGUGUCUAUGGGCACCUCACGGAUCCGGUUACCCCUGAACACCGAGGAAUGACUGCACUUGAAAUGUGGACGGUGGUCCCCUGGGUGCCCAGCUGGAGGUCCGGUCACUGGCCUUACUCUGGCCCCCCACACCAAGGAAACGCGACACGCUCCCCACUCCCAUGGGCCUCCGUUACGGUCAACGACAACUGCUCUCCAGCGGCUGCAGAGAGCAAGAGGUACCUACUUUGGACCAAGAAUUAGAGCGGCCAGCAGUGGAGAUGCUGAUGGGUUUCUUCCCAGUUCUCUCUCGGCUCUGGGCAGUCUCUCAUGCGUGGUGGAGWCCUGGCACCACACUGGAGCUUGAAGCCCUGCCUCGGCCCUUCUGGGCAUGGUUCCACGUCUGCCAUUGGCUUCGACAAGGGUUGACACCCCCGAGCCUUUCCCUCUCCCACAGGUUCUCCCUGGACACAGGCCAGCCCUGCCCUCGCAGAGCCGAGCUUCUGCCAGCCUGGGGGGCUCCUGACCCCACCGGGGACGCCUGCUGCCCUCGCUUGCCCGAGGGCCUGUGGAUCCAUGAGGUCCUCCUUCCCGUGGUGUGCAUCCGUCAGGCUGUGAGCUGAAAGCUGCACCUGGGGCGGGUUGUGGCUCAGAGGCACGGCGCUCGCCCCGCCUGCGGCCACCUCUGGGUCACGCUGAAGGCUCUCCGUCAACAGGCUGCUGCAGCGUGGACAGGGAAGGCCACCCAGAGGCCUGUGUUAAAGACUCGGCUCUCAGUGUGGCGCUAUUGGGAGUCUAGAGGCAGGUCUUUAGUAGAGGUCGGGCCCUCCACGAGGAGAGUGGGAACCUAGCACUGUCCCCUCCCCCUUGUCACUUCCGGGUCAUGAGGUGAGCCAUUUGGCUCUGCCUUAGGCUUCCCCCACCAUGUGCCACCUGGCCACAGGCCCAAAGCCAUGGGGCCACCAGCCCCAGCUGGAAACCUCUAAAACAGUGAGCGGCCAACCUUUUCUCUUUAUCAGGUGAUGGUCUCGGGGUUUGUUACAGUAACAGGAAGCUGACUGCCACCCGGACUCUGGGCUCCAUCCACGUCUAGAUCUGGCAAGAAACAUGUGGUUCCAGGACUGUGUGUCUGGGACCUGGGCCUCUGGGUGCUGUCCCCAGGGGAGCCAUGUGUCUGUGUGGCUUCCUUGGUGCCCUGAGAUGGUCUCUAUGUACCUGGGUUCCCUCCUUUUAAAGACAGGACUCCGAGCCAUUUUCAGGCCGAAUACACCAUGGUUCCAUUCUCAAAGUGCCGUCGGUCGGUGUGUUAUCUGAACAUUUUGCUUGUGACUCUCUCUCCAAGAGCACCCAGGGGGUUGUUGGUGGCAGAGUGGGGGACAGAAAGCUUUCCGCGUGUUCUGACCCAGAGCCCCGAGCCUGCCCCCUUCUCUCUCAGAUUUGGGCAAGAUCCUUAGGAUGCGGCCCCUUUGCAGGCCCCACGACCUGCCCGUGACGCUGGCCUCAUGCGCACCCAGACCCUGGGCUGCCACUGCCUCCUGCCUCUCUUCCGUCCCCUCCAUAGUUGGUCUGAGCUAGACCAAGACUGUUCUUCUGGGAAGCCAGAAGCCUCCUCUGGGGGGGGUGGGGGGGUGAGGGGCAUGAAUCAGCUUCCGGGCAAGUUUCUAAAUCGAUGCUUAUUUUAAGCCCGUUUCCUGUCAKGACCCCAGAGAGGCCGCAGCCUGGUGAUCCAUACUCCCCACCCCUCCCUAUUGCACUCCGGGGAUUCAUGCGUUUAUGCCUAAGCACUGAAAGCAUGGGAAGGAUUGCCUUCUAAAUCUAAGCCGGAUGGACAUCCCGCGUCCAAGUUCAUCCAGACCCAUGGCCCACAGAUAGGCAGGUAGGAUGGAGGCUUCUGGGAGUGGACAACAGGUUUUGUCCACAUAGGUAUGGGCCCCGGGUCCUUUGCACCUCUUCAUUCCACGGCUGUGCGUCACUGACUGGACUCUGUGUCCCAGAAUCCAGCCUCSGGGCCGCCUGACUUUCAGACGGCAUCUGUCUCGGAAGCUCACCUCGGGCUACGGGUGAACACCCAGCCUCUCCGCGUGCCCCUCCUUCUCCCUGCGUCUCCUGGUUGCUGGUCAGCUCUUGGGGGGCCUGGCACUGGAAGGAGGCUCGGGUCUCACUUUCUUGGUGGAGUCCGCUUCCCUGAGACCCGCCACCACCUCCUGCAAGACCUGGUCCCCCCUGCAGCCUUGUGCCCAGCCACCUUUCCUGGGGACUCACCUCUGUCCACAGUUCCUGGUUCAUGGAGACUUCCUCUUGCUAGAACGUGGGCCGCCCGAGGGCGGACUUGUUUGUUCACAGAGAAUCCCUGAGCUUAGCUCACGGACACACCUGUUAGGAGCCUCUGUCGGGCCGAACCCACUGCAAGUCACAGCUCACCUUGCCCAACAGCCCGUCUUUAAAAGUCAGGAGCCCCAGAGCCCCAGAGCUCACCCGCUGGCCUGGGAUCAGGUUGGUGGCCCUGGCAGGGGGGACUCUGGGGGUCUGGGACCCUCCCAGGGACCCGGGAAUGGUUCCCCCAUCCCAGCAAAGACCUCCUCUCCUCUUCCUUGCCACGCCCCCGCAGACCUGGUGGAGACCGGGGGACAGUGUCCACUAAAUGAAGAGGUGGGCACGGGAGGGGGGUCUGACCAGCGCCAGCUUCCUGGGUGGGACUCCGGGUCUCCAGCCGGGUUCCUGUCACCAGCCAGCUGUCAGGUCUUGGGACAAACUAGGCUCAGUUUUCUCAUCUGCCCAACGGGGGCUUCCCUCCUGGGGCGACCCUGGGGUCUAGGGAAGAGAACGCAAAGAGCUUGGGACAGUGCUGACGUACGUUUUUGCACUCAAUGAUGACAGCUGUCGGAAGGACGCAAUAAAUGUUCCUGGUGGCAUCGAGGACA